UGGGGAAUUUUGGACAAUGGGCGAAAGCCUGAUCCAGCAAUGCCGCGUGUGUGAAGAAGGCCUUCGGGUUGUAAAGCACUUUUGUCCGGAAAGAAAUCCUUGGCUCUAAUACAGUCGGGGGAUGACGGUACCGGAAGAAUAAGCACCGGCUAACUACGUGCCAGCAGCCGCGGUAAUACGUAGGGUGCAAGCGUUAAUCGGAAUUACUGGGCGUAAAGCGUGCGCAGGCGGUUUGCUAAGACCGAUGUGAAAUCCCCGGGCUCAACCUGGGAACUGCAUUGGUGACUGGCAGGCUAGAGUAUGGCAGAGGGGGGUAGAAUUCCACGUGUAGCAGUGAAAUGCGUAGAGAUGUGGAGGAAUACCGAUGGCGAAGGCAGCCCCCUGGGCCAAUACUGACGCUCAUGCACGAAAGCGUGGGGGAGCAAAACAGGAUUAGAUACCCUGGUAGUCCACGCCCUAAAACGAUGUCAACUAGUUGUUGGGGAUUCAUUUCCUUAGUAACGUAGCUAACGCGUGAAGUUGACCGCCUGGGGAGUACGGUCGCAAGAUUAAAACUCAAAUGAAUUGACGGGGUCAUAGCU
This 581-nucleotide ribosomal RNA is filed under the name uncultured bacterium. RNAcentral's name for it is "partial 16S ribosomal RNA". It matches the Rfam family "Bacterial small subunit ribosomal RNA", at positions 355 to 926 of the family's 1533-position model. The record is from RNAcentral.